AAGUCGAACGAGUUCUCGUUGAUGAUCGGUGCUUGCACCGAGAUUCAACAUGGAACGAGUGGCGGACGGGUGAGUAACACGUGGGUAACCUGCCCUUAAGUGGGGGAUAACAUUUGGAAACAGAUGCUAAUACCGCAUAGAUCCAAGAACCGCAUGGUUCUUGGCUGAAAGAUGGCGUAAGCUAUCGCUUUUGGAUGGACCCGCGGCGUAUUAGCUAGUUGGUGAGGUAAUGGCUCACCAAGGCGAUGAUACGUAGCCGAACUGAGAGGUUGAUCGGCCACAUUGGGACUGAGACACGGCCCAAACUCCUACGGGAGGCAGCAGUAGGGAAUCUUCCACAAUGGACGCAAGUCUGAUGGAGCAACGCCGCGUGAGUGAAGAAGGCUUUCGGGUCGUAAAACUCUGUUGUUGGAGAAGAAUGGUCGGCAGAGUAACUGUUGUCGGCGUGACGGUAUCCAACCAGAAAGCCACGGCUAACUACGUGCCAGCAGCCGCGGUAAUACGUAGGUGGCAAGCGUUAUCCGGAUUUAUUGGGCGUAAAGCGAGCGCAGGCGGUUUUUUAAGUCUGAUGUGAAAAGCCCUCGGCUUAA
This 590-nucleotide ribosomal RNA is filed under the name Lacticaseibacillus paracasei. RNAcentral's name for it is "bacterial SSU rRNA". It matches the Rfam family "Bacterial small subunit ribosomal RNA", at positions 59 to 612 of the family's 1533-position model. The record is from RNAcentral. Lineage: Bacteria; Bacillati; Bacillota; Bacilli; Lactobacillales; Lactobacillaceae.